Molecule: ribosomal RNA, 242 nt
Filed under: Malus domestica (apple)
Lineage: Eukaryota; Viridiplantae; Streptophyta; Magnoliopsida; Rosales; Rosaceae
Description: rRNA MD14G0028600
Rfam family: Bacterial small subunit ribosomal RNA
Source: RNAcentral
CAUAAUGGCUGUGGAAACAUCCGAGUUGAUGACCACAUAAUACUGAUAUCGAUAUGGAAAUAUUCGCAAAAUUAAGAGUGAAUAUUGAAAGGAGAGUGAAAUAUAAACUUGAUAGCUUACCAAGGCGAUAAUAAGUAGUUGGUCUGAGAGGAUGACCAACCACAUUGGAACUGAGACACGACCCAGACUCCUACGGGAGGCAGCAAUGUGGAAUUUUCCGCAAUGGGCAAAAGCUUGACGGA